GUUCUGGUAAGAGCAGGACAGAGGUUUCUAGGGCAUGAAGGAAAAAAAUAUUGAUGUUGGAAAAUCCUCCUGACUCCAAUGCUUGUUGGCAGAGCUUCUGAUGGAUUUCCUUAUCUUUGAAUAUAGUUCUAGAAAGCCUGGCUGGAAAAUAUGGAAUCUGUUUCAUGUGCUGCCAGUGAGACAAUGUUGUUUGCGUGCUUUCCUCAAAGUCCUGCAUCCUGCUCGCGGUGCUGAGGUCUGUGCGAACCCUUUUUGGAGCGCUUUUUGCGGAGGGGACCCGGGGGACACUCAUGGCUCUCUGCAUCUUCCUCGGGAGGGCGAGAGGAGCGGCAGAGCCCCAUCUCUCCGCUGAGCACCCGAGGGGCCGACCUCAAGUCGUGUCGGGGGAGGUUUAGGCUGGAGAUUAAGGAAAGGC
RNAcentral lists this long non-coding RNA (415 nucleotides) under Cyanoderma ruficeps (rufous-capped babbler). Its description in RNAcentral is "lncRNA (ENSCRFG00000003943.1)". Lineage: Eukaryota; Metazoa; Chordata; Aves; Passeriformes; Timaliidae. The record is from RNAcentral.